GUGAUGCUGGAUCUGCUUUACAAUCAAAAAAAUCUGAAUCGCACUGCAGUGUAUAAAUAUUCAAUAGACAUCAUGAUUGAGUUCUUCUGAAUCGUGGAUCCUACACAGACUAAUCAAACAAUGAAUGGGAAGCGUCUGAAAUCAUCAGAAAAGGAAAAAAGGAGAAAGGAAAAAUGAACUAAAGCGGAAAAAAUUACACUGGAUUUGGAUGCGGAGGAGAGAGAGAGAUAAGAAGCAUAGAAAACUUGAAACAAAUCCGCAACUCGAUACAAUCUCUUCAAUUUAUAAACUUCUGAACAGUUACAACUGUCAAGGGAAAAUGAUGACGGUUCCACAGAAGAUCUAGAAGAUCUGAGUGCGAAAAGAUACAACCUUUAAGGAAAAAACAGAUGAUCUGUUUAAGAGACGCCUGUGAGGAGGUAUGAUGAAGCCGUCGAUUGCUAUAGUAAAUCUAGUACGUCAUUCUUUUGUUCCUAACCAAAACCUUAACCAUUAAAUUAUAUCACAUACACGAUUCUCACCAUUAGAUUUUGAUUUUUUCCUAUAAUAAAAUGAUGAUGUCAUCAGUUAGAUAAAAAAAGAUUUGCUAUUAUAUAUAGAUAAUAAAUAUAUACUAUUUCGAAAUUCAAACCCUAAACCCUAAACUCAAUUCUAAACCCUAACCAUCAAUCAUAAACCAUAUUAUAUUUUGAAAUAUGAACCAUAAACCCUAAACCAUCAAGCUUAAACCCUUUUAUUUUUUGAAAUACAGACCCUAAAUCCUGAAACAUCAAUUCUAAACUCUAAACCCCGAAACAUCAACUCUAAACUCUAAACCCUAAACCCUAAAAUUCAGCUCUAAACCCUAAACCAUCAACUCUAAACCCUAAAUUUUCAACACUAAACCCUAAACCCUAAAACGUAAACUCUAAACCCUAAAAAGAAAACUCUAAACCCUAAACCCUAAAAAAAUGACCCUAAACCCUAAAACAUCAACUCUAAACCCUAAACCUUCAACUUAAAAUCUAAACCCUAAAUCCUAAACCCUAAACCCUAAACCCUAAAACCGUAGAGUUGAUGUUUUAGGGUUUAGAUUUGAAGGUUUAGGGGUUUAGGGUUUACAGUUUACUUUUAGGGUUUAGAGUUUACAGUUUACUUUUAGGGUUUAGGGUUUAGAGUUUAGGGUUUAGGGUUUAGGGUUUUGAUUUUUAAGGUUUUGAUUUGAAGGUUUAGGGUCUAGGAUUCAAAUUUCAGAAAAAUAUAGGGUUUAGAGUUUACGUUUAGGGUUUUGAGCUGAUGUUGUAGGGUUUAGAUAUGAAGGUUAAGGGUUUAGAGUUUAGAGUUGAAGUUUCGCGGUUUAGGGUUUAGAGUUGAUGUUUCAUGGUUUAGGGUUUAGAGUUGAUGAUUUAGGGUUUAAAGUUGAUGUUUUAAGUUUAGAUUUAGGGUUUAGGGUUUACUUUGAAGGUUUCAUUUAGAGUUGAUGAUUUAGGGUUUAAAGUUGAUGUUUUAAGUUAGAUUUAUAUAAAAGUAUUAAUUUCCUAAACCAUUAGAUGAUCAGCGCACUGUCUGUACGGUGAUGCUGGAUCUGCUUUACAAUCAAAAAAAUCUGAAUCGCACUGCAGUGUAUAAAUAUUCAAUAGACAUCAUGAUUGAGUUCUUCUGAAUCGUGGAUCCUACACAGACUAAUCAAACAAUGAAUGGGAAGCGUCUGAAAUCAUCAGAAAAGGAAAAAAGGAGAAAGGAAAAAUGAACUAAAGCGGAAAAAAUUACACUGGAUUUGGAUGCGGAGGAGAGAGAGAGAUAAGAAGCAUAGAAAACUUGAAACAAAUCCGCAACUCGAUACAAUCUCUUCAAUUUAUAAACUUCUGAACAGUUACAACUGUCAAGGGAAAAUGAUGACGGUUCCACAGAAGAUCUAGAAGAUCUGAGUGCGAAAAGAUACAACCUUUAAGGAAAAAACAGAUGAUCUGUUUAAGAGACGCCUGUGAGGAGGUAUGAUGAAGCCGUCGAUUGCUAUAGUAAAUCUAGUACGUCAUUCUUUUGUUCCUAACCAAAA
Molecule: long non-coding RNA, 2035 nt
Filed under: Brassica napus (rape)
Lineage: Eukaryota; Viridiplantae; Streptophyta; Magnoliopsida; Brassicales; Brassicaceae
Description: long non-coding RNA (BNAP_LNC021842)
Source: RNAcentral